This 1168-nucleotide long non-coding RNA is filed under the name Scophthalmus maximus (turbot). RNAcentral's name for it is "lncRNA (ENSSMAG00000037915.1)". The record is from RNAcentral. Lineage: Eukaryota; Metazoa; Chordata; Actinopteri; Pleuronectiformes; Scophthalmidae.
GGCUAUAUUAAGUUGUUGUACAGAAAAAUCCUGUUCAAAAGAAAAUCUAAGUCCACAGACCUUUGAUCUGGUCAGAGCAUGUCCGCAAUAAUAUAAUGCUGAAAUAAAGUCGGAGAAUAUUGUUCAGAUAUGUGAUAGGUUGUGAGAGAAACAGUAAAGUUCUACUAAGUAUCAUCGGGGAAUAAAAGCAUUGGGUCUGAACAUCCUCUCUGACGUGAGGCAACUGAAUUUAUUCUGCUUCCAUAUCGAUCUGGUUGACGAGGAAAGGUCCCGUCAUUUUUUGACAGCUAGAUCAGGUUCAGGAAAAGGGAGGAGUUAAAGAAAGGAUAGGCGAUUUCGAAAAAUCGCCCCGCAAAAUCCCACUCGCUUCCUUCAGACCUCUGUCCAAAGCCCUUCCCCCAAAACACAUGAACGGGCACUGCUGCCUGAGUCUGACUGCAAUGGAGGAGGAAGACACGAGCGGAGCACGACAUCGCUAACUGACUGCUCUUGGCUCAUUCACAAAGCUUUGAGACUGGUACACUGGACUCUGAUGAGGAAGUAAACAAGUCUGCUUCGACAAGUAGACUAGCGAGGAGAAGAGGGAGUCGCAUACGAGGCGCACCGGGCAGGGACCAUGGGAGACGGGGCAGAGGUCAGCGUGUUGGCCCGACACCCGAGGACCUGGGAGCCAAAGACAUUGCUGAGCUUCAUGUGAUGAGCCAAUUGGUACCUGCUGCUUGAACUGGUUUGAUUCAAUGAUAGUGUAUCUUUAGUUGCCUUUGCUAGAUGUAAAUAGUGUGCUGUGCAAUACAUUUUUUUAAAUUUUUUAAAUUUAUUUCAAAGUUAUUUAAUAUUUAUGAAACCUCAGUAUUUGCCUUGCAAUAAAGUGUAUUUUUGAAAGUGAUUGGUUUCUUUAUGCAAAAAUAAACCACAAUGUGAAGAUGACUUCACAUGUAUAGAGCCCUCAGGUCUUCUUUUGGGUGGUCUUUGGACAUGGUGGUUGUAGUUUGAGCCAGCCACUAAGAUUCUGGCUUCAUAGACUGAAGGGCUGAUGCUGAAGCACUUGCAGGGCUCCAGCUCUGCAGUUGACCUGCAAAUUCAGAGGAAACUGUUAUAAUACUUUUUAUUAAAAAUAAUGUAGUCUAAAAAUAUUCCUCCUUACAAAUUGAUCCCAAUUUAAAAUACU